RNAcentral lists this ribosomal RNA (1866 nucleotides) under Triticum aestivum (bread wheat). RNAcentral describes it as "partial small subunit ribosomal RNA". The record is from RNAcentral. Lineage: Eukaryota; Viridiplantae; Streptophyta; Magnoliopsida; Poales; Poaceae.
AUGCAAGAGCCCACGGGCCCCGAAAACCUCCUCCCUCAUGCGCGCGCGCAACCUUUUCCGUCGCCGGCGCCACCGCUUCCGAAAAUUUCCCUCUUCUCUUUCUCUUUCUUUCCGUGCCACUCCCCAAUCCGUUCUCCAAUCCCACUCCCCUGUAUGCCGGCGUCCGGGACGCGCUCCCGGGGCCGGCCGCCGCAGCCGGUGGAGGAGGGGGCGCGCGACGCAGAAGCGCCGGUGGAGGAGGCGGGCGAGCUCGGCGCCGACGGCGAUGCGGCGGUUAGUGCGUUACCGGCUCACCCGGUGAGCUCUUCCAGCUCGGGUGAGGACGAUGGGGAGGAGGCGGGGGAUGGGGAUGAUGAGGACGCGGAGGGGCCGCUCCUCCCCAGCUGCCCCGUGUGUAUGAACGCGUGGACCGCCGAUGGCGAGCAUCGCGUAAGUUGCAUUCCUUGUGGACAUGUCUACGGCAGAUCUUGCUUAGAAAAAUGGUUAGCACAGUGUGGGAAGAAAAGUGCCACGUGUCCUCAGUGCGGCAAGAUGUUUAGACAAAAGAACAUUAUCAACCUCUAUGCACCAGAGAUUGUUGUUCCAAAUAAUGAUCUUGAAAAGCAAGUAUUAUCAUUGAGAGAUAAAAAUGAAUUUCUUGAGAAUCAACAACAAAAAUUAAUUGAGGAGGUAAAAGAAUAUAAGAGGCAGAUUUUGUAUCAGCAACGUCUAAUAAAUGAGUCAAGCUCAAAGCGACAGAAAAUGGCAGAACAAUCAUCGAAUGGAGCAAUGAUUGCAGAGUCACUUCCCUCACUUAGAGCACAUGGUGGCAGUAGCGAUCUUUGCAAGUUUGUUCUCCAGAAUGAGUUUGUCCUGGAUGGAGCUCGAGUCAUGGGCAUAGAUGCAUCCAGCCAGAUUAUAGUAGCUUCUGGAAGGGCUCCUGGAGUUAGUGCUGAACAUGUCCUUACCAAGAUCUGCAUGUUCUCUAGACAGGAAACAAAAGUCCGCCUUCCGCCUAACACUAAAGCUGUCAGGGAUAUUUGUAUAACUCCUGGGGGCCUUGCUAUUUUUGCAUCUCUUGGCAGGAAAUUGUCACUUCUCAGCAUGACAACCAACAAUGUUGUCCUUCAGUAUGAUCUACCGGCUCCAGGCUGGUCCUGUUCAGGGGAUCAAACUGGCCCCAAUCACGUAUAUGCUGGAUUACAGAAUGGCAUGCUUUUGGUCUUUGAUACCCGCCAAACUAAAGGACCACUGCACUCCUUGAGUGGCCUAUCUACAAACCCAGUUCAUACAAUCCACUCUGUCGUAGAUGAUAGCGGUUCCACGAAGAUCAUCUCUGCUUCUUCCAUAGGACCCUGCAUUUGGGAUGUAGAUGGCAGUGAAAAUAGGCCAAAUUUGCUUACCGGGAUGGAAAACCAAGGGGUCUGCAUAUCCCUUGCAUGUGCCGCUCCAUCAAGUGAUCUGAUUGUGGCUUCCUUCCGUCCGAGGGUCGAGUUUUCGGGCGAUGGCAGUGCAUCUCAAAUGGGUAUAUCACAAUCACCGACUCUCUCCAGUUCUGGGAAGCUCGGGUGCCACGCUCUCCUGAGGAGGAAGAGCAGCACAUCCUUCGUGAAAGAGCAGAUCUGCAACGGCAACGUGAGUGAGCUGCGGAUGUCGAAGUCCGCAAUCUUACCCUGCAGCGGAACCGACCAACGCCUCUUUGCCUACGGCGACGAGUCGCUGCGCGGAGUUCGCACGUGGCGGCUGCCUUCGUUUCAGCCGCUCGCUGAUCUCAGGCCGCACCGCCAACCUAUCCUUGACCUGAGGUUUGCGGAGAGCUCCACCGGGGAGAAGUACCUCGGGUGCUUGAGCGAGGAGAAGCUGCAGGUCUUCAGAAUUAGGUCGUAG